GAUGAACGCUGGCGGCGUGCCUAAUACAUGCAAGUCGAGCGGACGGAUGCGGCGCUUGCUUGUCUGAUGUUAGGGGCGGGCGUGUGAGUCACACGUGUAUCCCCUCCCUAUAAGACUGGGAUCUCUUCGGGACAGCGGAGCUAAUACGGGAUAAUAUUUUGAACCGCGGGGUUCAAAAGUGAAAGACGGCCUUGCUGUAUCUUCUAGCGGGUUCCGGGCUGGAUUAGCUAGUUGGUACGGUAAAGGCUUACCAAGGCUACGAUGCGUGGGCGAGCUGACGGGCUGAUCGCCCACACUGGAACUGCGACACGCUCCAGACUCCUACGGGAGGCAGCAGUAUGGAAUCUUCCGCAAAGGGCGAAAGCCUUACACAGCGACGCCGCGUGUGUGAUGGAGGUCCCCGGAUCGUAAAGCCCUGUUACUAGUUAUGAACAGAUUUGGAAUUAACCGUACAGUGCUUGACGGUACUUAGUCAGAAAGCCCCGGCUAACUACGUG
This 497-nucleotide ribosomal RNA is filed under the name uncultured bacterium. Its description in RNAcentral is "partial 16S ribosomal RNA". It matches the Rfam family "Bacterial small subunit ribosomal RNA", at positions 28 to 507 of the family's 1533-position model. The record is from RNAcentral.